Molecule: ribosomal RNA, 398 nt
Filed under: uncultured bacterium
Lineage: Bacteria
Description: bacterial SSU rRNA
Rfam family: Bacterial small subunit ribosomal RNA
Source: RNAcentral
CGGGGGGCAGGCUUAACACGUGCAAGUCGAGGGGUAUAGUUCGUCGGAAGUAGAGACCGGCGCACGGGUGCGUGACGCGUGUGCAAUCUACCUUGUGCAGAGGGAUAGCCCGGAGAAAUGUGGAUUAGUACCUCAUAGUAGCUCGUUGUUGCAUGACAACGGGAUUAAAGUCACAACGGCGAAAGAUGAGCAUGCGUCCCAUUAGCUAGUUGGUGAGGUAACGGCUUACCAAGGCUACGAUGGGUAUGGGUCCUGAGAGGGAGAUCCCCCACACUGGUACUGAGACACGGACCACACUCCUACGGGAGGCACCAGUGAGGAAUAUUGGUCAAUGGGCGCAAGCCUGAACCAGUCAUGCCGCGUGCAGGAUGACGGUCCUAUGGAUUGUAAACUGCUUU